This 497-nucleotide ribosomal RNA is filed under the name uncultured bacterium. Its description in RNAcentral is "partial 16S ribosomal RNA". It matches the Rfam family "Bacterial small subunit ribosomal RNA", at positions 28 to 507 of the family's 1533-position model. The record is from RNAcentral.
GAUGAACGCUGGCGGCGUGCCUAAUACAUGCAAGUCGAGCGAACGGACGAGAAGCUUGCUUCUCUGAUGUUAGCGGCGGACGGGUGAGUAACACGUGGAUAACCUACCUAUAAGACUGGGAUAACUUCGGGAAACAGGAGCUAAUACCGGAUAAUAUUUUGAACCGCAUGGUUCAAAAGUGAAAGACGGUCUUGCUGUCACUUAUAGAUGGAUCCGCGCUGCAUUAGCUAGUUGGUAAGGUAACGGCUUACCAAGGCAACGAUGCAUAGCCGACCUGAGAGGGUGAUCGGCCACACUGGAACUGAGACACGGUCCAGACUCCUACGGGAGGCAGCAGUAGGGAAUCUUCCGCAAUGGGCGAAAGCCUGACGGAGCAACGCCGCGUGAGUGAUGAAGGUCUUCGGAUCGUAAAACUCUGUUAUUAGGGAAGAACAUAUGUGUAAGUAACUGUGCACAUCUUGACGGUACCUAAUCAGAAAGCCACGGCUAACUACGUG